Molecule: ribosomal RNA, 528 nt
Filed under: Travisia sp. a YDY-2022
Lineage: Eukaryota; Metazoa; Annelida; Polychaeta; Opheliidae
Description: partial large subunit ribosomal RNA
Rfam family: Bacterial large subunit ribosomal RNA
Source: RNAcentral
CAAAAACAUUGCCUCUUGCUCUCUAAUAAAAGGUUCAUCCUGCCCAGUGACUGAGUUCAACGGCCGCGGUACCCUGACCGUGCAAAGGUAGCAUAAUCACUCGCCUUUUAAUUGAAGGCUAGUAUGAAUGGACAAACGAGGGCCCACCUGUCUCUUUUGUAUUUAUAAAAAUUAUCCUUCAGGUGAAGAGACCUGAAUUUGAUAAAAGGACAAGAAGACCCUGUUGAGCUUUAUUUUUCUAAUAGACCUACUAACUCCAGCAAUACACCACCUCUAUUAUAUAAAUUUAGUUGGGGCGACUGAGGAACAUUUAAAGCUUCCUUUUUUUUUAUAGACUGUCAAGUCCUUUAUGAUCCAGACUACCUGAUCAAAGAAUCGAGCUACCACAGGGAUAACAGGCUAAUCCUCCUUGAGAGCCCACAUUGACAGGAGGGAUUGGCACCUCGAUGUUGGCUUAGGGAUCCCCAAAGGUGCAGCAGCCUUUAAAGGUAGGUUUGUUCAACCUUUAAUACCCUACGUGAUCUGAGU